CCUACGGGAGGCAGCAGUGGGGAAUGUUGGACAAUGGGGGGAACCCUGAUCCAGCCAUGCCGCGUGUGUGAAGAAGGCCCUCGGGUUGUAAAGCACUUUCAGUGAGGAAGAACGCCUGGUGGUUAAUACCCAUCAGGAAAGACAUCACUCACAGAAGAAGCACCGGCUAACUCCGUGCCAGCAGCCGCGGUAAUACGGAGGGUGCGAGCGUUAAUCGGAAUUACUGGGCGUAAAGCGCGCGUAGGUGGCUUGAUAAGCCGGUUGUGAAAGCCCCGGGCUCAACCUGGGAACGGCAUCCGGAACUGUCAAGCUAGAGUGCAGGAGAGGAAGGUAGAAUUCCCGGUGUAGCGGUGAAAUGCGUAGAGAUCGGGAGGAAUACCAGUGGCGAAGGCGGCCUUCUGGACUGACACUGACACUGAGGUGCGAAAGCGUGGGUAGCAAACAGGAUUAGAUACCCCUGUAGUC
RNAcentral lists this ribosomal RNA (465 nucleotides) under Vreelandella stevensii. Its description in RNAcentral is "partial 16S ribosomal RNA". It matches the Rfam family "Bacterial small subunit ribosomal RNA", at positions 338 to 795 of the family's 1533-position model. The record is from RNAcentral. Lineage: Bacteria; Pseudomonadati; Pseudomonadota; Gammaproteobacteria; Oceanospirillales; Halomonadaceae.